Molecule: transfer RNA, 44 nt
Filed under: Abraeinae sp. MJTNT-2012
Lineage: Eukaryota; Metazoa; Arthropoda; Insecta; Coleoptera; Histeridae
Description: partial tRNA-Leu
Source: RNAcentral
AAUGGAUUUAAACCCCAUACAUAAAGUCAUAUCUUUUUUUAGAA